RNAcentral lists this non-coding RNA (1545 nucleotides) under Paenibacillus aquistagni. Its description in RNAcentral is "Bacterial large subunit ribosomal RNA". It matches the Rfam family "Bacterial large subunit ribosomal RNA", at positions 697 to 2236 of the family's 2925-position model. The record is from Rfam by way of RNAcentral. Lineage: Bacteria; Bacillati; Bacillota; Bacilli; Caryophanales; Paenibacillaceae.
AAGUACGUAGACGUAGACCCGAAACCGUGUGAUCUACCCCUGUCCAGGGUGAAGGUGCGGUAACACGCACUGGAGGCCCGAACCCACGUACGUUGAAAAGUGCGGGGAUGAGGUGGGGGUAGCGGAGAAAUUCCAAUCGAACUCGGAGAUAGCUGGUUCUCCCCGAAAUAGCUUUAGGGCUAGCCUCGGAUAAUGAGUCGUGGAGGUAGAGCACUGAUUGGAUGCGGGGCCCGCCAAGGGUUACCAAGUUCAGUCAAACUCCGAAUGCCACAGACUUUAAUCCGGGAGUCAGACAGUGGGUGCUAAGGUCCAUUGUCAAGAGGGAAACAGCCCAGACCAUCAGCUAAGGUCCCAAAGUGUGUGUUAAGUGGGAAAGGAUGUGGAGUUGCUUAGACAACCAGGAUGUUGGCUUAGAAGCAGCCAUCAUUUAAAGAGUGCGUAAUAGCUCACUGGUCGAGUGACUCUGCGCCGAAAAUGUAACGGGGCUAAACACACCACCGAAGCUAUGGCUUGAUACUAUGUAUCAGGGGUAGGGGAGCGUUGUGUACCGGGUUGAAGGUAGACCGGAAGGACUGCUGGACUGUACACAAGUGAGAAUGCCGGUAUGAGUAACGAAAAGACAUGUGAGAAUCAUGUCCGCCGAAAGCCUAAGGGUUCCUGAGGAAGGUUCGUCCGCUCAGGGUAAGUCGGGACCUAAGGCGAGGCCGAAAGGCGUAGUCGAAGGACAACAGGUUGAAAUUCCUGUACCACCGUAAACCGUUAUGAGCAAUGGGGUGACGCAGAAGGAUAGGGACGCGAGCUGAUGGAUGCUCGUCCAAGCAGUGAGGCUGGUCAAUAGGCAAAUCCGUUGACCGUUAAAGCUAGGCUGUGAUGGGGAGGGAAAAUUAUAGUACCGAAGGUCUUGAUUUCAGGCUGCCAAGAAAAGCCUCUAGCCAGGUGAAGGUGCCCGUACCGCAAACCGACACAGGUAGGCGAGAUGAGUAUUCUAAGGCGCGCGGAAGAACUCUCGUUAAGGAACUCGGCAAAAUGACCCCGUAACUUCGGGAGAAGGGGUGCCUCGGUAGGGUGAAUAGCCCGAGGGGGCCGCAGUGAAAAGGCCCAAGCGACUGUUUAGCAAAAACACAGGUCUGUGCGAAGCCGCAAGGCGAAGUAUACGGGCUGACGCCUGCCCGGUGCUGGAAGGUUAAGGGGAGUGGUUAGCCGCAAGGCGAAGCUAUGAACCGAAGCCCCAGUAAACGGCGGCCGUAACUAUAACGGUCCUAAGGUAGCGAAAUUCCUUGUCAGGUAAAUUCUGACCCGCACGAAUGGCGUAACGACUUGGGCGCUGUCUCAACGAGAGAUCCGGUGAAAUUUUAAUACCUGUGAAGAUGCAGGUUACCCGCGACAAGACGGAAAGACCCCAUGGAGCUUUACUGUAGCUUGAUAUUGGACUUUGGUACGGACUGUACAGGAUAGGUGGGAGCCUUUGAAGCAGGAGCGCAAGCUUCUGUGGAGGCGCCGUUGGGAUACCACCCUGUUCGUAUCGGAGUUCUAACCUAGGACCGU